AUUGAACGCUGGCGGCAGGCCUAACACAUGCAAGUCGAGCGGAUGAAGGGAGCUUGCUCCUGGAUUCAGCGGCGGACGGGUGAGUAAUGCCUAGGAAUCUGCCUGGUAGUGGGGGAUAACGUCCGGAAACGGGCGCUAAUACCGCAUACGUCCUGAGGGAGAAAGUGGGGGAUCUUCGGACCUCACGCUAUCAGAUGAGCCUAGGUCGGAUUAGCUAGUUGGUGGGGUAAAGGCCUACCAAGGCGACGAUCCGUAACUGGUCUGAGAGGAUGAUCAGUCACACUGGAACUGAGACACGGUCCAGACUCCCACGGGGGGCAGCAGUGGGGAAUAUUGGACAAUGGGCGAAAGCCUGAUCCAGCCAUGCCGCGUGUGUGAAGAAGGUCUUCGGAUUGUAAAGCACUUUAAGUUGGGAGGAAGGGCAGUAAGUUAAUACCUUGCUGUUUUGACGUUACCAACAGAAUAAGCACCGGCUAACUUCGUG
RNAcentral lists this ribosomal RNA (484 nucleotides) under uncultured bacterium. Its description in RNAcentral is "partial 16S ribosomal RNA". It matches the Rfam family "Bacterial small subunit ribosomal RNA", at positions 30 to 507 of the family's 1533-position model. The record is from RNAcentral.